UUGCGCCCCAAGCCUUUAGGCCGAGGGCACGUCUGCUUGGGUGUCACUCAUCAUUGCCCCACCCCACCCCUGCCUCGGAGGCCUGGUGGUGCGGGCUGAUAAUGGCCUCCCGUGCGCUUCCAGCUCGCGGUUGGCCCAAAUUCGAGUCCUCGGCGACCAAAGCCGCGACGAUCGGUGGUGCAAACAAACCUCUCGAGCACACGUCGCGUGCCAGGCUCUCCAUUACGGGACUGAAGGACCUUUUUGCUCCGUGCAAGCGGUGCUCACAUCGCGACCCCAGGUCAGGCGGGACUACCCGCUGAGUUUAAGCAUAUCAAUAAGCGGAGGAAAAGAAACUUACCAGGAUUCCCC
RNAcentral lists this ribosomal RNA (351 nucleotides) under Zanthoxylum rhoifolium. RNAcentral describes it as "eukaryotic LSU rRNA". The stretch from base 272 to 351 matches the Rfam family "Eukaryotic large subunit ribosomal RNA", at positions 1 to 80 of the family's 3401-position model. Lineage: Eukaryota; Viridiplantae; Streptophyta; Magnoliopsida; Sapindales; Rutaceae. The record is from RNAcentral.